CAAACACAACGACUUCAUUUCAUCCCAAAUCCACCAUAGUUACAGUAGAAACUAGAAACCCACAAGCAGACCAGACCCAUUAGAUUGCUUUACAAUAAUAGCAAGCAUAAGAACGCCUAACUACCCAAUUUCUUGAUAACAAGACUAUCAAUCCAAAAUCAAAAGCCCUAACCACCAAACCCAUAAAGAGUCCUGCCCUGCCUUUUCAGUGCAUACACCACAUCCAUGGCUGUUACAGUCUUGCGGCGGGCGUGUUCCGUGUAGGUCACAGCGUCUCUGAUCACAUUCUCAAGGAAGAU
RNAcentral lists this unclassified non-coding RNA (299 nucleotides) under Hevea brasiliensis (rubber tree). Lineage: Eukaryota; Viridiplantae; Streptophyta; Magnoliopsida; Malpighiales; Euphorbiaceae. The record is from RNAcentral.